CGGCGGGACACGCCUCCCCAACGAGGCGCAACUAUUCUGCAAGGAAUAGCAUCA
Regulatory RNA element from Nitrospirillum amazonense, 54 nucleotides. It matches the Rfam family "serC leader". From Rfam's summary of the family: This family is a putative regulatory RNA structure that is found upstream of the serC-serA operon in some alpha-proteobacteria. The final stem of the structure overlaps the ribosome binding site of the serC reading frame. Lineage: Bacteria; Pseudomonadati; Pseudomonadota; Alphaproteobacteria; Rhodospirillales; Azospirillaceae. The record is from Rfam.